AGCUACAGCAGCAACAACUACUGAAGCUGCAACAACAACUACUGAAGCUACAGCAGCAACAACUACUGAAGAUUGCAGCAUCAUUGUGGCUGCAACAACAACUACUGAAGCUGCAACAACAACUACUGAAGCUACAGCAACAACAACUACUGA
Xenopus laevis (African clawed frog) is the source of this 153-nucleotide long non-coding RNA. RefSeq lists it as uncharacterized. Lineage: Eukaryota; Metazoa; Chordata; Amphibia; Anura; Pipidae. The record is from RefSeq and is a predicted model, not a curated record. The transcript is spliced from 7 exons.